CAAGAAUACAUGUUUAUUCACAGUCACCACCACAUGCACACAAGGCAGUGCACGGGAGACCCGAUUUUCCACAUUAACAAUGACCACGGCAUCCUUUCUUACAUCCACCAUGUACCAAGCUUCUGACAAAAUGAUAAGACAUCAGAAAGAGUUUUUUUUUAAGGGAUCCUCUUUGUCCCUUCGCCAUCCAUUAGUGCCUGGACUGGGUAGCAUAAGAGCCAGUCCCAAGCUCGUCCCCUAAACACCU
This 247-nucleotide long non-coding RNA is filed under the name Mytilus galloprovincialis (Mediterranean mussel). Lineage: Eukaryota; Metazoa; Mollusca; Bivalvia; Mytilida; Mytilidae. The record is from RNAcentral.